Long non-coding RNA from Argiope bruennichi, 1384 nucleotides. RefSeq lists it as uncharacterized. The transcript is spliced from 4 exons. Lineage: Eukaryota; Metazoa; Arthropoda; Arachnida; Araneae; Araneidae. The record is from RefSeq and is a predicted model, not a curated record.
AUUUGAAGUGAAGUAGAUUAUAAUUUGCAAAGAUUUUUGGUAUAGUGAUAUCUCACUUCGCGAGAAUUCUGAGUCGGAGAGGGGCGUUCCCGACUGCCUUAGGAUUGAGACAGACUCCUGUUCAUCUGAUAAAGGCUAUUCAAUUUGUCAUCUCAUCUGCUAUUGUCUGGAUACUUGGUGAGUCGAGAAAAUUAGUACAAAAAUGUUGGGAUUUUAGAAGACUUGCUAUACAAGAAUCGACUAAUGCCAAACGAAAUGGAGGCUGACUUCCGUAAUUAUCUGCUGGUGCAAUUAGUUUCAACAAGGAUUACGCUGGAUCCGAGAUGCGUUACGCCAGUACGGGACUUUUACAAAUGGUUGUUGGUUCUUUCAUUACUGAAUGCAUAUAAGAAUCUACUGCAAGCUGCUCUGAAGGAGGAACCUGACCAGAUAAGUUACUUCAGGAAUCUGUUAUUCCUGUAAACCCAAGCUUGUUUGCUCUUCCCGAUCAGAAAGUUUCUUCAGAAAAUACAGCCCGGAAGAGCCCAAGGAAUUGAAUUUAACAUGACUGUCUUAGCAAGUGCUCUCUGCUGUUUGAUCAGACUUCUGUGGCAGAUUUUUCCGAGUCUCGACGAAAUUUCAAAAAUAUGACCUUGUUAGCAGAAAAACUGCAGUUUUCUUUCGCAAUUGCAUGCGAAAGAUCUUUGAUACAGAAGCUCGAAUGAUUUUGAUUCUUUUUUGUCCAUUAAAUGUCUAAUUUUCAGUAUGUUAAUCGUUUUAAGUGUUGUGCAGUUCAUUGCGAAGUAGUGUAGAAAUCUUUUUCCAGUUCUGAAAGCUCCAAAUACUUCGAUUAACGUAAGGCGGUUCAGCCUCUUCCCCCCCCUCCCCCCAAAGCUUCAUUCCAUUAAGAUAGAAUUCGAAACUAAUCCUUCUAUAAGUGGUUGCUCCGAAUAAUAGUAUACAAGCCUCGACGCAUCAAUAAAACUAUUGUCUGUGAAGAAUACGAUAUCUUGUCUUGUGUUUUGAUAAACCAUGUAAACAUAAAAACAUAAAUUUGAAACCGUUUUAAAUUAUAGUUAAGUACCCGCAGCAUACCUUUGAAUAAAAGAAAAUCAAUCCAAGAAACUCAAUACUUUGAGCACCGAAGAGUAUUCAAUAUUAAUUCAUCCGAUUGAAAAAAUUCAAUACUUAUGAUAUUGAGAAUAAAAUUGGCUUCAUCAAGUCAUCUGACUUUUUGCCUUUCAAGACUUAAGUCGUGACUCUUCAAGCAAUAAAUUUUAAUCUCAGAGCCAAGAAUGUGAAUAUGAUGCAUGUUAAAAAUAUAUGCAAGUUUACACACGGUAAAACUGAAUAAAUGGCGACAUUAAUUUUGGAAAUAAAUACUCUGAAAUUUAUUAACUUAAAA